This 1425-nucleotide long non-coding RNA is filed under the name Equus asinus (donkey). RNAcentral describes it as "lncRNA (ENSEASG00005034315.1)". The record is from RNAcentral. Lineage: Eukaryota; Metazoa; Chordata; Mammalia; Perissodactyla; Equidae.
AUUUGUUUACCUGUUUUUUAGCUAUCUCACUAAAAUGUAAACUCCAUAGGACUCCAUAGGGGCCUGUCUGCCCCAUCUGCUGAGGACCCACAGUGUCCAAUCAUAGACGCCAGCUGCAAGCGAGCCUGAAAUUUAUGUUUGGACUGAAAAUACUUGCUCAAGUCUGACCUCCAUUGCUCUUCAUGAGAACACACUGACCACCUGGGCGAGCCUACGGCCAGUGCCACUGUCUGGCAAAAUCUCGGUGAGAUCAGAUCUGUGUCACUGCCCAGCCCUGCUUUUGACAUCUGCCUGUGCUUAUGAGCUCCCUGCUCCCUCUUUCCCCGUGAUCCUCUCCGACUGUGGAUAAAAUCCUCAGUCCUUUCCACUUUGACUCUUCCUUUUUGCCAGUAAGUUUCAAACCUACAACUCAAAUCCUGACCUUUCUCCUGAAACCAGAUACCUGUUUUUAAUUUCUAUUUCCAGGUUCAAUGAUCAGCUCACACUCAACAAGUCCGAAACAGAACUCAUCAGUCUCCUGGUACUGUUGAUGGCACUACCAUUGUGCCAGUCAUCUGCCCUUGACAAUCUCCACAUUAUUUGGGCUGCCCUUCUUUCCCUCAUCCUCCAUGUACACUGAGUCAUGGAGCAAAAUCCCUUUCCUUCAUAAUGUCUGCGUGUGCCAGAAGCUGCGUGAGCUUCUGAAGGUAGAACAAAAAUCAAGAUGUGAUCCCUGACUUGAAGAGUUUGGAUCCUACCAGAGGAACAAUCCAAGGCAGAAAGUGCUGAGUGCCACAUCAGCGGCAGCAGAGAAAGGACUAAGGGAGCCUGUGCCCGGGCUGGAGAGAAGAACACAGUGGUUCCAUGCUCAGGUACUGUAUAGUCUUGGGUUUGAACCCUGACUCCGUAACAGAAUAUCUGUAGAUCUUUGGCAAAUUUUUUAACCUCUCUAGGCCUCACUUUCCUCACGUGGGGAAUAAAGAUGGAUAGUAGAACUUGCCUGACAGGGUAUUGCGAGACUCAAAUGAAACAUUUUCAUGAAUCCCUUAGCAUCAUUUUAGUCAUCACUGCAAACGUGGUAGAUGGAUGCGUUAAUGACCCCCCUGUAUCCAUGUGCUUUCCAAUGGGACUUUGCAGCUCUUCCCAUUGUAAAGUGGACUCCAUUUCCCCACCCUUGAAUCUGGGCUGGCCUUAUGACAUUCUUUGGCCAACAGAAUGUGGCAGAAGUGAUAGUGUGCUAAUUGUCAGUCUAGGCCUCAAGAGGCCUAGCACAUUUCCACUUUCUCUCGGGACCUCUGCCUUUGCCAUAAGAACAAGCCCAGGAGAGCUGCUGGAGGAUAAGAGACCUUGUGGAGUAGAGAGGAAACUCCCCAGAGGAGGCCCUCUUAGACCAACCAAUCUGCCAGUUGUCUACAGAGACAUGAAUGCGUCCAGCUAAGAUCAGAA